AGACCCGAAACCCGGUGAUCUAGCCAUGGGCAGGUUGAAGGUUGGGUAACACUAACUGGAGGACCGAACCGACUAAUGUUGAAAAAUUAGCGGAUGACCUGUGGCUGGGGGUGAAAGGCCAAUCAAACCGGGAGAUAGCUGGUUCUCCCCGAAAGCUAUUUAGGUAGCGCCUCGUGAAUUCAUCUCCGGGGGUAGAGCACUGUUUCGGCUAGGGGGCCAUCCCGGCUUACCAACCCGAUGCAAACUGCGAAUACCGGAGAAUGUUAUCACGGGAGACACACGGCGGGUGCUAACGUCCGUCGUGAAGAGGGAAACAACCCAGACCGCCAGCUAAGGUCCCAAAGUCAUGGUUAAGUGGGAAACGAUGUGGGAAGGCCCAGACAGCCAGGAUGUUGGCUUAGAAGCAGCCAUCAUUUAAAGAAAGCGUAAUAGCUCACUGGUCGAGUCGGCCUGCGCGGAAGAUGUAACGGGGCUAAACCAUGCACCGAAGCUGCGGCAGCGACGCUUAUGCGUUGUUGGGUAGGGGAGCGUUCUGUAAGCCUGUGAAGGUGGCCUGUGAGGGUUGCUGGAGGUAUCAGAAGUGCGAAUGCUGACAUAAGUAACGAUAAAGCGGGUGAAAAGCCCGCUCGCCGGAAGACCAAGGGUUCCUGUCCAACGUUAAUCGGGGCAGGGUGAGUCGACCCCUAAGGCGAGGCCGAAAGGCGUAGUCGAUGGGAAACGGGUUAAUAUUCCCGUACUUGGUGUUACUGCGAAGGGGGGACGGAGAAGGCUAUGUUGGCCGGGCGACGGUUGUCCCGGUUUAAGCGUGUAGGCUGGUUUUCCAGGCAAAUCCGGAAAAUCAAGGCUGAGGCGUGACGACGAGGCACUACGGUGCUGAAGCAACAAAUGCCCUGCUUCCAGGAAAAGCCUCUAAGCAUCAGGUAACAUCAAAUCGUACCCCAAACCGACACAGGUGGUCAGGUAGAGAAUACCAAGGCGCUUGAGAGAACUCGGGUGAAGGAACUAGGCAAAAUGGUGCCGUAACUUCGGGAGAAGGCACGCUGACACGUAGGUGAAGUGAUUUACUCAUGGAGCUGAAGUCAGUCGAAGAUACCAGCUGGCUGCAACUGUUUAUUAAAAACACAGCACUGUGCAAACACGAAAGUGGACGUAUACGGUGUGACGCCUGCCCGGUGCCGGAAGGUUAAUUGAUGGGGUCAGCGCAAGCGAAGCUCCUGAUCGAAGCCCCGGUAAACGGCGGCCGUAACUAUAACGGUCCUAAGGUAGCGAAAUUCCUUGUCGGGUAAGUUCCGACCUGCACGAAUGGCGUAAUGAUGGCCAGGCUGUCUCCACCCGAGACUCAGUGAAAUUGAACUCGCUGUGAAGAUGCAGUGUACCCGCGGCAAGACGGAAAGACCCCGUGAACCUUUACUAUAGCUUGACACUGAACAUUGAGCCUUGAUGUGUAGGAUAGGUGGGAG
This 1460-nucleotide ribosomal RNA is filed under the name Salmonella enterica subsp. enterica serovar Hadar. RNAcentral describes it as "partial 23S ribosomal RNA". It matches the Rfam family "Bacterial large subunit ribosomal RNA", at positions 711 to 2153 of the family's 2925-position model. The record is from RNAcentral. Lineage: Bacteria; Pseudomonadati; Pseudomonadota; Gammaproteobacteria; Enterobacterales; Enterobacteriaceae.